Stomoxys calcitrans (stable fly) is the source of this 1521-nucleotide RNA transcript. RefSeq lists it as uncharacterized. The record is from RefSeq and is a predicted model, not a curated record. The transcript has 3 exons. NCBI's taxonomy places the organism in Eukaryota, Metazoa, Arthropoda, Insecta, Diptera, Muscidae.
AUACUUUCUGGCUCUCGUGUAUAUUAAAGAUUUUUCACUGUGUCUGCCUUUAAUAAGAACGAAAAAAAAAACCAUCUACAAAAUAGAAAAUUAAGAAUUUGGAAUUUAUUGCUUGUGGAAUAACAAGCGAAAUUGAAAUAUUAAAAAUCUACGUUAGAAUUGAAACGAUCAAAUUCACAAAAAUCAAAGUUUAACGGUGGCCCUUCGAGCGAGUUGAGGCCAAAGCAAACGACAAAAAUCUGUGUGUGAAAAUUGCGAUGUUUUUAAAGAAAAUACGGGCUAUGACACCUCAUUUACUACAUUGCCCCGAAAGAGGGAAUGUGUUGUGAGGAGGACUCAUGCAGAGUUGAGCCAACGACAGACGAAAAGAAAAAGAGAUUUAGUUUAUUGGAAAGUGUUUUGACGCACACACAAACAUUGUGGAGAAUUUGCUCUUGUAAAUUUCGUUUUGAUGGAUUAACAAAAAAUAAAUAAACAAAAAUCGAAGUAAUAGAUCGAAAGAGAGUAAGCGAAUCCUCGAUAGCGAAAGUGCCAAAAAGGAACUGCCUAGCAUUAACAUCUUCACAGAUAGUUCAGCGAACAGCUCUAAUCAUCAUAAAAAUAGAAACGAUGAACACUUCAUUGAACUUGAUGUGUUAGUUUGGUUGGUCGGUUGGUCACUUAAAAUAAACAAGACCUUCAUUAAGCUGUACAAGCAACAUUUAAUAAGCGUUCUUGUUACUCCUCCAAUCCAAAGCGAUCGCCACCUCCAUCUAUGCCCCCCCGUACCGAUGCCAUUGGUGAGAGGAGGUUGUUCGUUCGAGUGAAUGAGUUUUGUAACGAAAAUAGAAAUCUAUUAGAUACGAAAAUACACAAAACACCAAUAGUAAUAAUAAUAAUAAUAAUAACAAAGGCAGAAAGAAGAACGCACACAAAACCAAAAACAAAAUUAUUGUUGGCGGUGGCACUGACGCUGCUGGCUGCCAGUCAUUGCCAAUUGUUCUUCGACUUGCUUUAUAUCUCGUGUUAGCUUUGCGAGAUGUGCCGACGAGAUGUAUUCUCACCUUAGAUUGCUGUUGCUGCCGCUGUCUUCUUCUUCAAUCUGAUUGUCUGAUCACGAGGAUGACAUUGGUGUUAAUACCUAACGGCGAAGACGAAAGGAAUCGUUAAAAACGAAUGAAUCGCGACAACACCCAUGGUCAUAGGCUUUCCACUAAAUGUCCACAUUAGAAGUGUGUGGGCAAUGCGAGAGUCCUACCUGACGACCGGCCCAAACGAUCGAUCGACCACGCCAACAACAAAAACGAGAUAAACACAGCUACCGAUAGCCGCCAACGUCAAUAAAACACUAAAUCUUGGCACUUCUUGGAAUAAAUGAAACUACUUAAAAUCUAAUAAAUGCUAAUCUUUGGGAUUAUAUUUAACAACCAGACAGUGUUUUAAAUAUGAAUGCCAGACUAGGAGGCGCCUCCUCUUAUCCUUUUUUGAGGGAACGCAAACACGACUACCUGUGGGCCGCAUAUAGUCAAUAGAUUUAGUGAG